This 426-nucleotide ribosomal RNA is filed under the name uncultured bacterium. RNAcentral describes it as "partial 16S ribosomal RNA". It matches the Rfam family "Bacterial small subunit ribosomal RNA", at positions 354 to 796 of the family's 1533-position model. The record is from RNAcentral.
GUGGGGAAUCUUGCGCAAUGGGCGAAAGCCUGACGCAGCCAUGCCGCGUGAAUGAUGAAGGUCUUAGGAUUGUAAAAUUCUUUCACCGGGGACGAUAAUGACGGUACCCGGAGAAGAAGCUCCGGCUAACUUCGUGCCAGCAGCCGCGGUAAUACGAAGGGGGCUAGCGUUGCUUGGAAUUACUGGGCGGAAAGGGCGCGUAGGCGGACAGCUUAGUCAGAGGUGAAAGCCCAGGGCUCAACCGUGGAAUUGCCUUUGAUACUGGCUGUCUUGAGGUUGGGAGAGGUGAGUGGAACUCCGAGUGUAGAGGUGAAAUUCGUAGAUAUUCGGAAGAACACCAGUGGCGAAGGCGACUCACUGGCCCAAUACUGACGCUGAGGCGCGAAAGCGUGGGGAGCAAACAGGAUUAGAUACCCUAGUUAGUCC